RNAcentral lists this transfer RNA (73 nucleotides) under Tropiometra macrodiscus. Its description in RNAcentral is "tRNA-Phe". It matches the Rfam family "tRNA". From Rfam's summary of the family: Transfer RNA (tRNA) molecules are approximately 80 nucleotides in length. Their secondary structure includes four short double-helical elements and three loops (D, anti-codon, and T loops). Further hydrogen bonds mediate the characteristic L-shaped molecular structure. tRNAs have two regions of fundamental functional importance: the anti-codon, which is responsible for specific mRNA codon recognition, and the 3' end, to which the tRNAs corresponding amino acid is attached (by aminoacyl-tRNA synthetases). tRNAs cope with the degeneracy of the genetic code in two manners: having more than one tRNA (with a specific anti-codon) for a particular amino acid; and 'wobble' base-pairing, i.e. permitting non-standard base-pairing at the 3rd anti-codon position. Lineage: Eukaryota; Metazoa; Echinodermata; Crinoidea; Comatulida; Tropiometridae. The record is from RNAcentral.
GCAAAAGUAGCUUAACGAUAAAGCAAAGCACUGAAAAUGCUUUAAUAGAAGGUUUAAGUCCUCUCUUUAUGCA